GAGGCGGGCAUGACACAGCAAGACGAGAAG
RNAcentral lists this non-coding RNA (30 nucleotides) under Homo sapiens (human). The record is from RNAcentral. Lineage: Eukaryota; Metazoa; Chordata; Mammalia; Primates; Hominidae.